CUACGGGGGGCUGCAGUGGGGAAUAUUGCACAAUGGGGGAAACCCUGAUGCAGCCAUGCCGCGUGUGUGAAGAAGGCCUUCGGGUUGUAAAGCACUUUCAGCGAGGAGGAAAGGUUGAUGCCUAAUACGCAUCAGCUGUGACGUUACUCGCAGAAGAAGCACCGGCUAACUCCGUGCCAGCAGCCGCGGUAAUACGGAGGGUGCAAGCGUUAAUCGGAAUUACUGGGCGUAAAGCGCACGCAGGCGGUUGGAUAAGUUAGAUGUGAAAGCCCCGGGCUCAACCUGGGAAUUGCAUUUAAAACUGUCCAGCUAGAGUCUUGUAGAGGGGGGUAGAAUUCCAGGUGUAGCGGUGAAAUGCGUAGAGAUCUGGAGGAAUACCGGUGGCGAAGGCGGCCCCCUGGACAAAGACUGACGCUCAGGUGCGAAAGCGUGGGGAGCAAACAGGAUUAGAUACCCGUGUAGUC
RNAcentral lists this ribosomal RNA (464 nucleotides) under uncultured bacterium. RNAcentral's name for it is "partial 16S ribosomal RNA". It matches the Rfam family "Bacterial small subunit ribosomal RNA", at positions 339 to 795 of the family's 1533-position model. The record is from RNAcentral.